RNAcentral lists this ribosomal RNA (157 nucleotides) under uncultured fungus. RNAcentral describes it as "5.8S ribosomal RNA". It matches the Rfam family "5.8S ribosomal RNA". Rfam says of the family: 5.8S ribosomal RNA (5.8S rRNA) is a component of the large subunit of the eukaryotic ribosome. The record is from RNAcentral. Lineage: Eukaryota; Fungi.
CAACUUUCAGCAACGGAUCUCUUGGCUCUCGCAUCGAUGAAGAACGCAGCGAAAUGCGAUAAGUAAUGUGAAUUGCAGAAUUCAGUGAAUCAUCGAAUCUUUGAACGCACCUUGCGCUCCUUGGUAUUCCGAGGAGCAUGCCUGUUUGAGUGUCUUG